UCAAAAACGGGAUACCCCUUUUUAGAAUUAUUAAAUUUGAUAAACUUAAUUAUAUUUAUUAAUAUUAAUUAUGGAGCUUAUUGAUUACCAGUUAAAAAUAUUAAUAAACAAUAGAAAUAUUAAAUUAGUUGCAAUUUAAAUUAAGGUUAAUUAGGUGCCAGCAACCGCGGUCAUACCUAAUUAUUUAUAUAAUUAUUUUAAGUGGUUCUUCUAGAGAAAUAAUUAUGUAAAUAUAGUAAAAUACUUUAUUUAAAAAUUCCCUUCUCCUCUAACACUUAAAAAAGUCUUAAGCCAUACCAAAAACUAGGAUUAGAUACCCUAUUAUUAAGGAUUACUUUAACCCACUGAGAAGUAAAAUAACUCAAUAUUGAAACUCAAAAAUCAUGGCGGCUUUUGGAAUUUAUUAGGGGAACUUACCUAUUAAUUGAUAACCACCAAGACACUCAAUAUGCUUCAAAAGUUUGUAUGCCGUCGUCUCUAUAUUUUCUUAGAAAAUAUUAAAAUAUUCUUAAUUUAAUGACAGAUCAAGGUGCAACUAAUAAGUAUAUAAAAGGCGAGUUACAGUAACAACUUACUUCAGAUAAAUAUUUAGAAAAUAUAAUUUAAAGAUGGACUUAAAAGUAAAACUUAAUUUAAAAUUAAAAAUUGAAUUAACAAUCCACUAGUGU
This 668-nucleotide ribosomal RNA is filed under the name Agardhiella langaleta. Its description in RNAcentral is "partial 12S ribosomal RNA". The record is from RNAcentral. Lineage: Eukaryota; Metazoa; Mollusca; Gastropoda; Stylommatophora; Agardhiellidae.